GACGAACGCUGGCGGCGUGCCUAAUACAUGCAAGUAGAACGCUGAAGAGAGGAGCUUGCUCUUCUUGGAUGAGUUGCGAACGGGUGAGUAACGCGUAGGUAACCUGCCUGGUAGCGGGGGAUAACUAUUGGAAACGAUAGCUAAUACCGCAUAAUAGUAGAUGUUGCAUGACAUUUGCUUAAAAGGUGCAAUUGCAUCACUACCAGAUGGACCUGCGUUGUAUUAGCUAGUUGGUGAGGUAACGGCUCACCAAGGCAACGAUACAUAGCCGACCUGAGAGGGUGAUCGGCCACACUGGAACUGAGACACGGCCCAGACUCCUACGGGAGGCAGCAGUAGGGAAUCUUCGGCAAAGGACGGAAGUCUGACCGAGCAACGCCGCGUGAGUGAAGAAGGUUUUCGGAUCGUAAAGCUCUGUUGUAAGAGAAGAACGAGUGUGAGAGUGGAAAGUUCACACUGUGACGGUAUCUUACCAGAAAGGGACGGCUAACUACGU
This 496-nucleotide ribosomal RNA is filed under the name uncultured bacterium. Its description in RNAcentral is "partial 16S ribosomal RNA". It matches the Rfam family "Bacterial small subunit ribosomal RNA", at positions 28 to 506 of the family's 1533-position model. The record is from RNAcentral.